CUGACGGUAUCUGCAGAAUAAGCACCGGCUAACUACGUGCCAGCAGCCGCGGUAAUACGUAGGGUGCAAGCGUUAAUCGGAAUUACUGGGCGUAAAGCGUGUGUAGGCGGUUCGGAAAGAAAGAUGUGAAAUCCCAGGGCUCAACCUUGGAACUGCAUUUUUAACUGCCGAGCUAGAGUAUGUCAGAGGGGGGUAGAAUUCCACGUGUAGCAGUGAAAUGCGUAGAUAUGUGGAGGAAUACCGAUGGCGAAGGCAGCCCCCUGGGAUAAUACUGACGCUCAGACACGAAAGCGUGGGGAGCAAACAGGAUUAGAUACCCUGGUAGUCCACGCCCUAAACGAUGUCAACUAGCUGUUGGGGCCGUUAGGCCUUAGUAGCGCAGCUAACGCGUGAAGUUGACCGCCUGGGGAGUACGGUCGCAAGAUUAAAACUCAAAGGAAUUGACGGGGACCCGCACAAGCGGUGGAUGAUGUGGAUUAAUUCGAUGCAACGCGAAAAACCUUACCUACCCUUGACAUGUCUGGAAAGCCGAAGAGAUUUGGCCGUGCUCGCAAGAGAACCGGAACACAGGUGCUGCAUGGCUGUCGUCAGCUCGUGUCGUGAGAUGUUGGGUUAAGUCCCGCAACGAGCGCAACCCUUGUCAUUAGUUGCUACGCAAGAGCACUCUAAUGAGACUGCCGGUGACAAACCGGAGGAAGGUGGGGAUGACGUCAAGUCCUCAUGGCCCUUAUGGGUAGGGCUUCACACGUCAUACAAUGGUCGGGACAGAGGGUCGCCAACCCGCGAGGGGGAGCCAAUCUCAGAAACCCGAUCGUAGUCCGGAUCGCAGUCUGCAACUCGACUGCGUGAAGUCGGAAUCGCUAGUAAUCGCGGAUCAGAAUGUCGCGGUGAAUACGUUCCCGGGUCUUGUACACACCGCCCGUCACACCAUGGGAGUGGGUUUCACCAGAAGUAGGUAGCCUAACCGUAAGGAGGGCGCUACCACGUGAUUCUGGCCC
Molecule: ribosomal RNA, 998 nt
Filed under: Alcaligenes sp. F5'(2012)
Lineage: Bacteria; Pseudomonadati; Pseudomonadota; Betaproteobacteria; Burkholderiales; Alcaligenaceae
Description: bacterial SSU rRNA
Rfam family: Bacterial small subunit ribosomal RNA
Source: RNAcentral